Molecule: long non-coding RNA, 1205 nt
Organism: Gorilla gorilla gorilla (western lowland gorilla)
Lineage: Eukaryota; Metazoa; Chordata; Mammalia; Primates; Hominidae
Exons: 3
Source: RefSeq, a predicted model, not a curated record
AACCCCAUGUUACCCAUAGAUUUCAGGCAUUGUAUGGAAGAACAUUGGGAAACUCCCUGCUCUGUUCUGUUUCACUCUGACUACCAGUGCAUGAAACCCCUGUCACGUAUCCCCUAGAUUGCUCAAUCAGUCACAACCCUUUCAUGUAAAAUCUUUAGUGUUGUGAGCCCUUAAAAGGGACAGAAAUUGUGCGCUCGGGGAGCUCGGAUUUUAAGGCAGUAGCUUGCUGAUUCUCCCAGCUGAAUAAAGCCCUUCCUUCUACAACUCGGUGUCUGAGAUAUUUUGUCUGCGGCUAGUCCUGCUACAUUUCUUGGCUCCCUGACCGGGAAACGAGGUAACUGACAUAUGGCCGAGGCAGCCCCUUAGGCGGCUUAGGCCUGCCCUGUGGAACAUCCCUGCAGGGAACUCUGGCCAGCCUGAGUGAUGUGAUCCAAGGAGCACUCCCGGGUAGAAAAUUGCCCUGGUGGAACGCCUCACCAGAGCAGCACGUAGCAGGCCCCCCAUGGAGGAUUAACACAGUGGCUGAACACCAGGAAGGAAAUGGCACUUGGAGUCUGGACAUCUGAAACUUGUGUGAUGAAGUAUCAACAUAAAUUUCUGGGAGGAUUAUGGCCAUUAUACAAUUAACUAAAGAGACAUUAAGACUCACGUUGAGUAGAGGUAAAGAGCUGUGCAGUGAAGGAUCUUCAGUGACAGGAGUGAAGGCAGAGAAUGUUCACAGAUGCAGAGCAGUUGGAAUAUUUCUUGAAGAAAGAAUGUUUGUUGAAAUCUUCCAUUUGGAGUCAGGAAAAGUUCUUCUGUUGUCAUUCCUGUGUAGCCUGAAGUUAGUCACCUUUGUAAAAACUAGGAGAAGACUAUUUAUCCACUGGCCGCUACAGUUUCUUCUAUUCCACACCCAUAAAAUAUUAGCAUAGUGAUCAUGGCAAACCCCCAAUAUAAAAAAGAGAUACUCAAUUGUGUCAAUAAUUGAGAGAAUAAACAUGUAAUAAAUAAAAGUGUGUUAUUCUAAUAACUGUUUUUGUCUUAUUUAAUUUUGGCUGCCAUAACAAAGCAUCGUAGACUACAUGGCUUAUAAACAAUAGGAAUUUAUUUCUGAGUUCUAGAGUCUAGAAGUCUGAGAUCAGGGCACCAGCAUGGUCAGGUUCUGCUGAGGGUCCUCUUCUGGACUAUAGAUUGCAGAAUUCUCAUUGUAUAUUUAUUGUAUC